Long non-coding RNA from Herpailurus yagouaroundi (jaguarundi), 786 nucleotides. RefSeq lists it as uncharacterized. The record is from RefSeq and is a predicted model, not a curated record. The transcript has 5 exons. NCBI's taxonomy places the organism in Eukaryota, Metazoa, Chordata, Mammalia, Carnivora, Felidae.
GGUGCCUAUCCUGAUUGGCUGAGCCUCGGCGACCGGUGGACGGCCGGCAAUGGCGGGGUUUUCGGUUUUCAAACUCGCCAGGCGGGCGGGAAAGACAAGCCGGUUUAACUGACCCGCGGGAGAAAGGCGCCCAGCUGGAGAGCGGGCCAGCCAGGUGGUUCCUGCUGCGGGACCCCCACCAUUUAGACUGGGAGAAGACAGGAAUUAAAUCUUUUCAGAAUGGUAGACUCCGUGGAGGUGAUAAAACGGAGCCUUCGCAUAUGCUGUCCCUCUGCCCGGGACAUUCUUGCCAUUCAGGCCUCAGCUCCAAUAUCACCUCCUCAGUGAAGACACCACCAUCCCUCCUGCCCCCUUGAAUAUCAAGCUCCCGGCCUUACCUUGCCCUUGACGUCGAGGAUGAAGACAGCCGAGGCGGACAUUGUGGCGGCCGGCGGACCUGGGAGGCGGGGAGGGAGCGCCGGGAGGCGACGGCGGCGCCGCUUCCUUCUUCCUGCGGAAGCGCCGGCGCGCAGGUGAGAGCCCAGGACCUGAGGGGGAAGAAAUUUCCUGUCUUCUCACAUUGGAAGAAGCAGAGGCACAGAGAGGUGAAGCCACUUGCCCAACGUCACACAGCUGUGAAGCAGCUGAACCAGAAUUUGAACCUGAGUCCUGGCAUUCAAGAGCCCAAUCCCAACCCACUCCCAACUGCUCCGCCAUAUUGCCAGAUACAAGUAUUGCUACUAAAUGGGGCGCCUGUGUGGCUCAGUCGGUUGAGUGUUCGACUCUUGAUCCUGGCUCCAGUCAUGA